AGAGUUUGAUCCUGGCUCAGGAUGAACGCUAGCGGGAGGCUUAACACAUGCAAGUCGAGGGGCAGCACGGGAGUAGCAAUACAACUGGUGGCGACCGGCGCACGGGUGAGUAACGCGUAUGCAACCUACCUAUCAGAGGGGAAUAACCCGGCGAAAGUCGGACUAAUACCGCAUAAAACAGGGGCACCGCAUGGUGAUAUUUGUUAAAGAAAUUCGCUGAUAGAUGGGCAUGCGUUCCAUUAGGUAGUUGGUGAGGUAACGGCUCACCAAGCCGACGAUGGAUAGGGGAACUGAGAGGUUGGUCCCCCACACUGGUACUGAGACACGGACCAGACUCCUACGGGAGGCAGCAGUGAGGAAUAUUGGUCAAUGGGCGGGAGCCUGAACCAGCCAAGUCGCGUGAAGGAAGAAGGAUCUAUGGUUCGUAAACUUCUUUUGCAGGGGAAUAAAGUGCAGGACGUGUCCUGUUUUGUAUGUACCCUGAGAACAAGGAUCGGCUAACUCCGUGCCAGCAGCCGCGGUAAUA
This 526-nucleotide ribosomal RNA is filed under the name uncultured bacterium. RNAcentral describes it as "bacterial SSU rRNA". It matches the Rfam family "Bacterial small subunit ribosomal RNA", at positions 8 to 525 of the family's 1533-position model. The record is from RNAcentral.